This 182-nucleotide ribosomal RNA is filed under the name Erwinia phyllosphaerae. RNAcentral's name for it is "partial 16S ribosomal RNA". It matches the Rfam family "Bacterial small subunit ribosomal RNA", at positions 728 to 909 of the family's 1533-position model. The record is from RNAcentral. Lineage: Bacteria; Pseudomonadati; Pseudomonadota; Gammaproteobacteria; Enterobacterales; Erwiniaceae.
CCCUGGACAAGACUGACGCUCAGGUGCGAAAGCGUGGGGAGCAAACAGGAUUAGAUACCCUGGUAGUCCACGCCGUAAACGAUGUCGACUUGGAGGUUGUGCCCUUGAGGCGUGGCUUCCGGAGCUAACGCGUUAAGUCGACCGCCUGGGGAGUACGGCCGCAAGGUUAAAACUCAAAGGAA